RNAcentral lists this unclassified non-coding RNA (1182 nucleotides) under Hevea brasiliensis (rubber tree). The record is from RNAcentral. Lineage: Eukaryota; Viridiplantae; Streptophyta; Magnoliopsida; Malpighiales; Euphorbiaceae.
GAGGAAAACAACAUCAAUCAUAAUUGGGACACAUAACAUUUGUUUUGGCUCACUAUGGUUAUAACUUUUUUGUUUUCAAUUUUUGGAACAAUUUAAGGCAUGUUCUCAUCAUCUUGAAAAUCUUCAUUCUCAAAGUUGUUGUUGUUGCUGUACUCAUUGUUGCCAUAGGUGUUCUUGUUGUUGUAUUGUUGGUUCAUUGCAGCAAAUUCCUUUGCAUUUUCAUAUGGAUCCCUGGCAUGUCUACCAGCAUUAAUAUCAUAGUAAAAUUUCCCAUUACCCAAGAACCUUGUGUCACUCAUCCCCUGUUGUUGGUGCACUCUGUAAUUGCUAUUCCCAGUGUUGUAACUCUGUUCUUCAUUACUGUUGUAAUUUGUGGAGUAGCUCUGUUCCUGAUUGUUGUUGUAAUUUGUUGGGUUGGUGUUGUAGCUUUUGGCACUCAAUCUUGUUUCAGUAAACUCCUGUUGUGGUUCAUAAUUGUUGUUAUAAUAUGUAUUAGAAGCGUUGUAGUACUCCUCCUCAUUGUUAUCAUUGUUGUUGUACUGUUGGUUGUUGCUGUAAAAACUGUCACCACUAUAGAACUGUUGCUGCUGGUAGUUGUUGUUGCUGUUGUGGCUUUUAGUACUGAAAUCGCUGACGCCGUGGUAGUACUGUUGCUGCUGGUUGUUAUUGCUGUUACUGCGGUAAUUGGUGGGACCACUGUAGAAUUGGUUGUUAUUCAAGUUAGUGGUGGAGGUUGAGGCAUCAAUACUGUGCUUGGAUGAAAAGUUGUCGUUGAAAGUGUUUUCGUUGGUGUUGUCCUCUGCAACAGUUACAUAAGAAACAGGGUUGUAAUUUUUGGGAAGGUAUUUGCUGUUGGGAAAAUUGUUGUCGUUGGUAUUAGUGGUCGUAGAAGGAGUCGAAACAGAUUCAUGACCAUAAAGGCCAUAAGCACCAUUUUCAUUUUCAGGCAUGAAAUUUGGCUCUUGUUGCUCUUUAUUAGGAACAACUGUUGCUGCUUCCUUUUCACCAUUGUUGCUUGGGACUUUGUUGAAAAAUUGACCAUCCCUUGCAUGAAGAACUUGGAGUGAGGUAAAAAGAGCAAGGAGGAAAAUAACAGAGAAACUUUUAACAAUAAAAGCCAUUUCGAAUAGAAAAUCAAAGAAUUUGUGUUGGUGUUAGUUUUCAAUCCCCGGGAUAGAUAGA